ACGAAGAUAGCUUAACUGUCCGAGCCGUUGGUGCGCAACCAAAAGAUCCGGGUUCGAUUCCCGGUUCGGGCUGUA
Molecule: transfer RNA, 75 nt
Filed under: Cotesia glomerata
Lineage: Eukaryota; Metazoa; Arthropoda; Insecta; Hymenoptera; Braconidae
Description: tRNA-Ala
Source: RNAcentral